UGAAGGAAAACAUUUUUGAAAUGGGGAGUGAGGAAAACAUACUUCAAAAGGAUUCUCUCUCCCCAUAAGUUAUUUCUAUGAAGACUCACCAAAGGGACCACAUGAUAAUACAUUCCCUCCACUCAGUAAAAAAAACAUGUCCCUCACUCCUUUCCUUAAAACCCUCUCACAAAACGCACAGAAACAAAAAACAAAAAACAAAGCAUUGUUAUCAAAAAACUCUGAGAUUCAUCUUCAAUAAUCUCUAUUCAAUUUUUCUCAC
Molecule: long non-coding RNA, 262 nt
Filed under: Lathyrus oleraceus (garden pea)
Lineage: Eukaryota; Viridiplantae; Streptophyta; Magnoliopsida; Fabales; Fabaceae
Description: Pisum sativum (pea) long non-coding RNA (PSAT_LNC037192)
Source: RNAcentral